CUUCGGUGGGGAUUAGUGGCGAACGGGUGAGUAACACGUGGGCAAUCUGCCCUUCACUCUGGGACAAGCCCUGGAAACGGGGUCUAAUACCGGAUGAUACUUCUGCUCGCAUGGGUGGGGGUUGAAAGCUCCGGCGGUGAAGGAUGAGCCCGCGGCCUAUCAGCUUGUUGGUGAGGUAGUGGCUCACCAAGGCGACGACGGGUAGCCGGCCUGAGAGGGCGACCGGCCACACUGGGACUGAGACACGGCCCAGACUCCUACGGGAGGCAGCAGUGGGGAAUAUUGCACAAUGGGCGAAAGCCUGAUGCAGCGACGCCGCGUGAGGGAUGACGGCCUUCGGGUUGUAAACCUCUUUCAGCAGGGAAGAAGCGAGAGUGACGGUACCUGCAGAAGAAGCGCCGGCUAACUACGUGCCAGCAGCCGCGGUAAUACGUAGGGCGCAAGCGUUGUCCGGAAUUAUUGGGCGUAAAGAGCUCGUAGGCGGUCUGUCGCGUCGGAUGUGAAAGCCCGGGGCUUAACCCCGGGUCUGCAUUCGAUACGGGCAGACUAGAGUGUGGUAGGGGAGAUCGGAAUUCCUGGUGUAGCGGUGAAAUGCGCAGAUAUCAGGAGGAACACCGGUGGCGAAGGCGGAUCUCUGGGCCAUUACUGACGCUGAGGAGCGAAAGCGUGGGGAGCGAACAGGAUUAGAUACCCUGGUAGU
This 700-nucleotide ribosomal RNA is filed under the name Streptomyces sp. MJBC18. Its description in RNAcentral is "bacterial SSU rRNA". It matches the Rfam family "Bacterial small subunit ribosomal RNA", at positions 80 to 794 of the family's 1533-position model. The record is from RNAcentral. Lineage: Bacteria; Bacillati; Actinomycetota; Actinomycetes; Kitasatosporales; Streptomycetaceae.